RNAcentral lists this ribosomal RNA (495 nucleotides) under uncultured bacterium. RNAcentral's name for it is "bacterial SSU rRNA". It matches the Rfam family "Bacterial small subunit ribosomal RNA", at positions 1 to 518 of the family's 1533-position model. The record is from RNAcentral.
AGUAGUUGAUUAUGGCUCAGGACGAACGCUGGCGGCACGCUUAACACAUGCAAGUCGAACGGAGAAUUUUGGUUUACUGAGAAUUCUUAGUGGCGGACGGGUGAGUAACACGUGAGCAACCUACCUCAGAGAGAGGGAUAGCUUCUGGAAACGGAUGGUAAUACCUCAUAACAUAACUGAAAGGCAUCUUUUGGUUAUCAAAGAUUUAUCACUCUGAGAUGGGCUCGCGUCUGAUUAGAUAGUUGGUGAGGUAACGGCUCACCAAGUCGACGAUCAGUAGCCGGACUGAGAGGUUGAACGGCCACAUUGGGACUGAGACACGGCCCAGACUCCUACGGGAGGCAGCAGUGGGGAAUAUUGCACAAUGGGGGAAACCCUGAAUGCAGCGAUGCCGCGUGGAGGAAGAAGGUUUUCGGAUUGUAAACUCCUGUCUUAAAGGACGAUAAUGACGGUACUUUAGGAGGAAGCUCCGGCUAACUACGUGCCAGCAGCGGC